Molecule: long non-coding RNA, 1944 nt
Filed under: Marmota monax (woodchuck)
Lineage: Eukaryota; Metazoa; Chordata; Mammalia; Rodentia; Sciuridae
Rfam family: tRNA (bases 1002-1074)
Source: RNAcentral
CUCAGCGCGGCGGCGCGAGAGGGAGCGCACUCGUUCUGCACCGCCAAGACAGGACAGCCUUCGGAGAAUGGCGCCUGCCUGCCCACGGCACUCUUAACCGUGCUUGACCGGCCUCCAGCCAAGCCCGUUAGCAGACACCUGUCGCCACCGCUCCCCGGCCGCUGAGUGCCCGAGCACCCCGUUCACACGCAGCUCCAGGAGCACCUUCCACGGCAGGGUGAAUCGCGGGGCCGAACCAGCCACCCUUAUGAAACAGGGACCUAACGGGAAGCUGCGGCGUCAGGCCCCGAAUUUGCAUUUCUGUGUGGCUAAUGUGGGACCCCAACUGCACGUGGGGUCCAGAUUCAGGGGUCGAUUUUGAGGACCUGGUGGUCAAUUUAAUGUUAAGUUUGUUAGGCUGAGGAAAACUGGUAGUGCCCAGGGCCGCGGGGUGGAGUGGAGGGGGCCACUGAGGGCCACGGGCUUGGGGAGGGGGUUAAAGUCGCAUGGUAUGUGAGUUACAUCUUUUUGGACUUUACUUUGUUAACUUCUGACUCAUUUAAAACUCCACAUUUUAAAAAUUGCUGCUGAAUUAUGUCUUAAAAACUUUUACCCGGGUAGUCUGCCCGGCCAGACUGGUUUAGCUCAGCUUCUUCAGCCUUCAUUCUUUAACUCAUUCUUUUGUUCUGCUAAAUGCUAACAGUGCCUCAGAAAGCUUCCAGUGAGGAAAGGUGGUUUCCGGGAAAGAAUGUGGUGAGGAGGGAAAGGCAGGGGGAGCUGGCCGCCCCCCUCCAGUGCUUUGAUCAGGAUGAAUGACCUUGGUUGUGAAGUAAAGGAACUUGGCGCUGCCCUCCACUGCAUCCUGGCCCUGGGCCACGGAGGAGUAAGCAAUAAAAUGUCCAAAACCUCUCUGUUGAGUCCUCUAAGUUCUUCCUUUGGGUUCUGUAAACAGAACCUUCCUUUGGGGCCUUUGCAGUCCUGGGGCUAAACUGUCAUUUUAAGUAAGAGAUUAAGGAGAGGCUGGGGAUACAGCUCAGUUGGUAGAGUGCUUGCCUUGCAUGCACAAGGCCCUGGGUUCAAUUCCCAGAACCACCAAAAAAAAGGGCUGGGGAUGUGGCUCAAGCGGUAGAGCGCUGGCCUAGCACAUAUGAGGCCCUGGGUUUGAGCCUUAGCACCACGUUAAAAUAAACAUAUGACAUCCAACUACAACUAAAAAAUAAAUAUUAAAAAAAAAAAUAGGCUGAGGAUGUGGCUCAGUGGGUCUAGUGCCCUGAGUUCAAUCCCCAGUACCCACCCCCACCCCACCUCCCAAAAAAAGAUUGAGGAAAAGGGUCCCUGAUCAGUACAAAUUCUCAGUUUAGAAGGGAAGAAAGCUGUGUAAAUAGAAAUUUACAUUUCAGUGUUGAUAAAUAUGAUAUUCGCUUAAAAAGAAAAGUAAUGAUAAAGGGGAAUGUAGUUGGGGAGGUGCCUCUGGAGUUGAGUGCAUCUCAAAGGCAGAUGAAGAAGCACUGUGCAGAAGCCCAGAGAUGGAGUUGCUUAGUGCCUGCAGGAGUCCCCAAAAUAGAAAAUAAAUGUUGGAGCGCCCUGGAAAAACCAGACUGGACUUCUGGACAUUUUAGUUUGGCCGAGGGUUAGAUAUCAGCUUGCUGGGAGCAAUAGGGAUAUAGCUCAGUUAGCAGAGCAUUUGCCUCGCAUUCACAAGGGCCUGGAUUCAAUCCCCAGCAAAACGAUCGUGCACGCGCACACACACACACACAAAAGAUACAGAGACCUAUGAAAAAGAAUUGCAUAUCCAGGAAUAAACCCAUUCAUUUAUGGCUUAGCACAAGGUGCCACAUCAUUCAAUCUAAGAGUAUGAAUCUCUUAACAAAUAGCACUUAAAGGUCAAAAUUGUUAAAAUGGAAAAGUUUGUGUUAUUCAUAUUUUUUCACAGUAGAAAUUAUGAAAAAAGAUAAUUGUCUAAUA